GACGAACCGUGCAAACGUUGUUCGGAAUCACUGGGCUUAAAGGGCGCGUAGGCGGGCGAGUAAGUCUGGGGUGAAAUCUUUCGGCUCAACCGGAAAAGUGCCUCGGAUACUGCUCGUCUGGAGGGAGGUAGGGGCAUGUGGAACUUCUGGUGGAGCGGUGAAAUGCGUUGAUAUCAGAAGGAACGCCGGUGGCGAAAGCGACGUGCUGGACCUCUUCUGACGCUGAUGCGCGAAAGCUAGGGGAGCAAACGGG
RNAcentral lists this ribosomal RNA (253 nucleotides) under uncultured bacterium. RNAcentral's name for it is "partial 16S ribosomal RNA". It matches the Rfam family "Bacterial small subunit ribosomal RNA", at positions 524 to 776 of the family's 1533-position model. RNAcentral also lists the same sequence under 1 other name. The record is from RNAcentral.